This 496-nucleotide ribosomal RNA is filed under the name uncultured bacterium. RNAcentral's name for it is "partial 16S ribosomal RNA". It matches the Rfam family "Bacterial small subunit ribosomal RNA", at positions 28 to 506 of the family's 1533-position model. The record is from RNAcentral.
GAUGAACGCUGGCGGCGUGCCUAAUACAUGCAAGUCGAGCGAACAGACGAGGAGCUUGCUCCUCUGACGUUAGCGGCGGACGGGUGAGUAACACGUGGAUAACCUACCUAUAAGACUGGGAUAACUUCGGGAAACCGGAGCUAAUACCGGAUAAUAUAUUGAACCGCAUGGUUCAAUAGUGAAAGACGGUUUUGCUGUCACUUAUAGAUGGAUCCGCGCCGCAUUAGCUAGUUGGUAAGGUAACGGCUUACCAAGGCAACGAUGCGUAGCCGACCUGAGAGGGUGAUCGGCCACACUGGAACUGAAACACGGUCCAAACUCCUACGGGAGGCAGCAGGAGGGAAUCUUCCCCAAUGGGCGAAAGCUUGACGGAGCAACGCCGGGGGGGUGAUGAAGGGCUUCGGAUCGUAAAACCCUUUUAUUGGGGAAAAAAAAAUGUGUAAGUAACUAUGCACGUUUUGACGGUACCAAAUCAAAAAGCCCCGGCUAACUACGU